GAUUAUUUAGUCAUAUCAACAUACGUUUACAGUCAGAUUCAAUAACUCCAUGGUUAUUGUUAUCAUCUUUGUUUUACAAAUGUAAACGAUUUCGGGAAUGUCUCUAUAUAAUCAACUAUUUAUUAUUCAGUUGUAACCCGGAUAGGAUAUAUGUACAUUAUGCAAACAGUUUGGCUGAACAGACUGUUUUUAAGCAGAUGAAGCGAACAUUGGGAUUAAUGCAUACGUUUAAAUAUUUGAAUAUUGAUAAUGUAUGUUUUCACUAUCCGUAUUAUUUAUUGCCACACGAACUAAUGUCUGUAAUAACCGGCAACAGUCUUAAAAUUCCUCCUGUUGUGUACUCGUAUCUUCUGCAAUGUCUUUGCUUUUAUCAGCUUGGUGAUAACAGAGGAACACAAAACGCGCUGCAUAGUCUCGAACUAACAAUACAAGAACGAUACUUUAUUUUUCCCAAUGAGUAUUAUUCUGAACAAGUUAAUACAAUUCUUUUUUUAGUGAAAUCAUUAAUAGGAUACACAUAAUCUGCGAGUGACCAUUUCAUUGAUAAACAGCUUUAGUGUGCACCCUAUUUAACAUGGAUACAUUUUCCUUAAAAGAAAUCAAUAUGAGAACAAUAUAAGUGUGCUU
This 627-nucleotide long non-coding RNA is filed under the name Mytilus galloprovincialis (Mediterranean mussel). Lineage: Eukaryota; Metazoa; Mollusca; Bivalvia; Mytilida; Mytilidae. The record is from RNAcentral.